UUAACUUCGGUUAAUUUUAGUGGCGGACGGGUGAGUAACACGUGAGAAUUCGCCUUUAGGAGGGGGAUAACGGAUGGAAACAUUCGCUAAAACCCCAUAUGCCCCUGGGUGAAACAGAGGAGAUAAGUAAUACUGACUCUUACCUCUGCCUGAAGAGAAGCUCGCGGCUGAUUAGCUAGUUGGUAGGGUAAAGGCCUACCAAGGCGACGAUCAGUAGCUGGUCUGAGAGGACGAUCAGCCACACUGGAACUGAGACACGGUCCAGACUCCUACGGGAGGCAGCAGUGAGGAAUUUUCUGCAAUGGGCGAAAGCCUGACAGAGCAAUACCGCGUGAGGGAUGAAGACUUACUGAGUUGUAAACCUCGGUACCUUAAGGAAGAAGAUCUGACGGUACUUAAGGUGGAAAGCAUCGGCUAACUCCGUGCCAGCAGCCGCGGUAAGACGGGGGAUGCAAGUGUUAUCCGGAUUUACUGGGCGUAAAGCGUCUGCAGGUGGUUUUCUAAGUCUACUGUUAAAUCUUGAGGCUCAACCUCAAAUCUGCAGUACAAACUAGAAGACUUGAGUAUAGUAGGGGUAGAGGGAAUUUCCAGUGGAGCGGUGAAAUGCGUAGAUAUUGGAAAGAACACCGAUGGCGAAGGCACUCUACU
RNAcentral lists this ribosomal RNA (648 nucleotides) under Nannochloropsis oceanica. RNAcentral's name for it is "bacterial SSU rRNA". It matches the Rfam family "Bacterial small subunit ribosomal RNA", at positions 74 to 730 of the family's 1533-position model. The record is from RNAcentral. Lineage: Eukaryota; Eustigmatophyceae; Eustigmatales; Monodopsidaceae.